AGUGAACGCUGGCGGUAGGCCUAACACAUGCAAGUCGAACGGCAGCACAGUAAGAGCUUGCUCUUACGGGUGGCGAGUGGCGGACGGGUGAGGAAUACAUCGGAAUCUACUUUUUCGUGGGGGAUAACGUAGGGAAACUUACGCUAAUACCGCAUACGACCUACGGGUGAAAGCAGGGGAUCUUCGGACCCUGCGCGGUUGAAUGAGCCGAUGUCGGAUUAGCUAGUUGGCGGGGUAAAGGCCCACCAAGGCGACGAUCCGUAGCUGGUCUGAGAGGAUGAUCAGCCACACUGGAACUGAGACACGGUCCAGACUCCUACGGGAGGCAGCAGUGGGGAAUAUUGGACAAUGGGCGCAAGCCUGAUCCAGCCAUACCGCGUGGGUGAAGAAGGCCUUCGGGUUGUAAAGCCCUUUUGUUGGGAAAGAAAAGCAGCAGGUUAAUACCCCGCUGUUCUGACGGUACCCAAAGAAUAAGCACCGGCUAACUUCGUG
This 492-nucleotide ribosomal RNA is filed under the name uncultured bacterium. RNAcentral's name for it is "partial 16S ribosomal RNA". It matches the Rfam family "Bacterial small subunit ribosomal RNA", at positions 29 to 507 of the family's 1533-position model. The record is from RNAcentral.